Molecule: transfer RNA, 66 nt
Filed under: Kikihia horologium
Lineage: Eukaryota; Metazoa; Arthropoda; Insecta; Hemiptera; Cicadidae
Description: tRNA-Pro
Source: RNAcentral
CAGAAAAUAAUUUAAAUAUAAAAUAUAAACUUUGGGAGUUUAAAAUGAUUUUUUUAUCUUUUCUGA